UACUUAAUUCCCUUUAUUUAUUUCAUCAAUUCCCUACUUUUUAAUUAAUCCAACUUAUUUUUAAAAUUACCCUAAUAAAAUCCCUUUUCCAAAAAAAUCUAUUUUAAAUCCACAAAUGCCUAUCCACUUAUGUUUCUUACAAACUUAAUAAAAAUCUCAAAUCUCUCUAUAAAACUGUAGGGUCCAGCUAUGGUACCACAGUGGUACCAUACCAUAGUUGGAUCCUGUCAUUGGAUCCAGUUAUGGUGACAACUGUGAGUUGGAUCCAAUUGUUAGAUCCAGCUGUGGUAUGUUACCAUGGUGAUACCAUAGUUUUGUCCUAAAAUUACCCUAGUAUUAAUUAAUCCAACUUAUUUCUAAAAUUACCCUAAUAAAAUCCAUUUUCCAAAAAAAUCUAUUUUAAAUUCACAAAUGCCUAUCCACUUAUGUUUCUUACAAACUUAAUAAAAAUCUCAAAUCUCUCAAUAAAACUGUAGGGUCCAACUAUGAUACUACAGUGGUACCAUACCAUAGUUGGAUCCAGUCAUUGGAUCCAGCAAUGGUGACAACUGUGAGUUGGAUCCAAUGAUUAGAUACAGUUGUGGUAUGAUACCAUAGUUUUGUCCUAAAACUCUAUGUGCAGCUUGAAAGUUUUGUUUUAUUUUAAGUUAAAAUGAUUAUGGACCUACCAUGUUACAAAACAUAAAGAAAACAAAAAUAUUGUUUUAAUUUUUAGUGUUGGAAAACUUAUCCUGUUCAUCGGUUCUAUUUUUCACUUUAAUUUCAUAUCAGCUAAAAUGCAACGUGGGAACAAAACUUCUACCAUAUGAAGUUUGUUGACUGUAAAUUGAACCAAAAACAAGAAUUGGAAAUUGAAUUGAUACUUCUUUAUGUGAAAUUCUUUUGGGGUUGUUUUUCCUUUCACAGUACCCAGCCUUUCCAUUUCUUUCAAAAUUGUUUUGUUGAAGAAUUGUUUUGUUGCUAAUUUAGUGAAAGAUUUGGCCUAUCACAAACCCACAAAAAAAAAAAAAGAUUGAUUUGUAAGUGAAAGCCUGAAAUAGACGUCAUAAACAAUGACGAGGAGUCUACGGCACUUUCAAUUGUUGCAAUUGAUGUAGGGAUGGCAAUGGGGAGGGGAGGGGAGGGGACCAAUCUCCCCGUACCCAUUCCCGAUAUUUUGCGUAUGUUCCCGUUCCCUCCCCGUCCCCGUCAGGAUUACUUGAGAGAAUCUUCAUCUCCUCCUCGAAUAAUAACAGGGGAUCCCCGAGGUCCCUGAUCCCUGAAUAACUAAUACAUUUUUUUUAUUUUCGAUUUUGAGUUAAUCAUAUUAAAAUAAAAAAUUCAAAUAAAAGUAAAGUUUGAAAUAUAUCUUACAUUAAUAUCCAUUACAAAAUUCACAUACAUUAAAUUAGUAAGUAACACAGCAUGCAAGGGAGACAAACUUCUUUUACAAACUAUCAUGAACAAAUUAAUAGUCUAAUACAAAAUUGUUACAAAUAAAAUCGAAUUUAGAUUCAAAAUUAACUUUUUUAAUGGUGGCGUGGGCACUUUGUAAAUGUGGACUAUUCCCUUUACAACACAAUAGUUAUAUCGGAGCAAAUCAAGAGCAAAUAUUAGAUUAGAUUAGAUUAGAUAUUAAAAUUGAGAUUCGUUGUUGGCAAUUAUAACAUC
This 1650-nucleotide long non-coding RNA is filed under the name Citrus x clementina. RNAcentral's name for it is "Citrus clementina (C. clementina) long non-coding RNA (CCLE_LNC000781)". Lineage: Eukaryota; Viridiplantae; Streptophyta; Magnoliopsida; Sapindales; Rutaceae. The record is from RNAcentral.